UGAAUAUACUUUAUUUUUAUGUAUGAAUAUUCUAAAAUAAAGAAUAAAGGGGAUUAGAUGCAACUAGACUCAGUACUCCUCAACAUUAGUCUUGGAAAGAAACAGGGUUUAUGUGUAACCUACCAUGUCUGACUCCCUGUUUUAUUUGGUAUUUCAGGAGAUGGUGCUUUCAGAGAAGAGCCAGGGGCUGCAGGAGGCCAUGAAUUUGCACUGGAUGUGACAGGCUCAGCAUGGUUUUGUAGAGAAACAGGGAUGUGGUGGUUGACGUCAGUGUGUCGCUGCGGCUCUGUGACUCGUUUGGGGACCAUCACAAGGACCGACGCUUUGCAUAUGACAGGUACCCCUGUUCUUCACAGUAGGAUUAGGAUUACCUCACGGUUAAUCUGCCCUCCAUGAAUAGUGGCUACCUGUCGUUCACUGCACAACUCUACAGUUGGAGACAACCAUGUAUCUGAAUAAAGCAUGCA
Long non-coding RNA from Oncorhynchus masou masou (cherry salmon), 467 nucleotides. RefSeq lists it as uncharacterized. NCBI's taxonomy places the organism in Eukaryota, Metazoa, Chordata, Actinopteri, Salmoniformes, Salmonidae. The record is from RefSeq and is a predicted model, not a curated record. The transcript is spliced from 3 exons.